CACAAUUUACACCAGCAAACUAGCAUGCCUCUAAACCAGGUUCCAACAACAAUUAACAUAUUCAUAAACAUAACAACCGAGACCCUAAAUCAUCCUCCUCUCCUCGCCAUGAUUCCACGGAUCACAAUUUACCUGCACCACAAACACAAUGAGAUGCGUGAGUAUUAUCACAAAUACUCAGUGAGAGCGAUCCUCCCAUCUACGAGCUAUACACACAAGCUAUGAGAUAACACACACAUAUAUAACAUAAACAAACCAUUCAGCAAGCUAAACAUCCAAUACACUUCCAAUUCACCUAUAAAUCAUCACAAACAAGUCACUCAAUCCCAAUCGCUUAGAUAAGCUCAUGGUCACACACUCACCUUAACAAGGUGAUUUGAAUAACAAAAACAAUCAGGAAAGACUAUCCUCGCGACUGCAACAGCCAAACAACGCCCUACAAUAAACCACACAAACAAAAAUCUCUAAGAACCAAAAGGAUAGAAACAGCAGAAAACCUACAGCCGCAGAAACGAAGCCCUAAAACAUAAACCAACCGUUAACUUCUUAAUCCCUACGGUGAAAAGCAAGAUACAGACGUCACAAAGCUGCCCACAAAAUUUGGUGCCGAUCAGAGAACCAAUGAAAUCACGAUCGCACUUAGAAACUCCGCUGAUCCCAAUUCGCAACAGAGAAGAAACGUCUCAACAAAAUGCAGAUAACUCACUGAGUAUUAAUCCGAAUUCACUUCUGUAAAAAGGAGAAUCAACGUACACGCCUUUGGAACAAACCUACCAAAUUCAUUACCUUUCGAUAAGAUUUGAUACGUCGGAACUCUAUUCUACCAAGACGUGACGAAUCUGCUUCUCUUGCUUUAAACACCAAAGCAAAGCUAACACUCUCCUUCUCACAAGUGAACAUCUC
RNAcentral lists this long non-coding RNA (903 nucleotides) under Capsella rubella. RNAcentral describes it as "long non-coding RNA (CRUB_LNC000726)". Lineage: Eukaryota; Viridiplantae; Streptophyta; Magnoliopsida; Brassicales; Brassicaceae. The record is from RNAcentral.